UAGAGUUUGAUCCUGGCUCAGGACGAACGCUGGCGGCGUGCCUAAUACAUGCAAGUCGAACGAACUCUGGUAUUGAUUGGUGCUUGCAUCAUGAUUUACAUUUGAGUGAGUGGCGAACUGGUGAGUAACACGUGGGAAACCUGCCCAGAAGCGGGGGAUAACACCUGGAAACAGAUGCUAAUACCGCAUAACAACUUGGACCGCAUGGUCCGAGCUUGAAAGAUGGCUUCGGCUAUCACUUUUGGAUGGUCCCGCGGCGUAUUAGCUAGAUGGUGGGGUAACGGCUCACCAUGGCAAUGAUACGUAGCCGACCUGAGAGGGUAAUCGGCCACAUUGGGACUGAGACACGGCCCAAACUCCUACGGGAGGCAGCAGUAGGGAAUCUUCCACAAUGGACGAAAGUCUGAUGGAGCAACGCCGCGUGAGUGAAGAAGGGUUUCGGCUCGUAAAACUCUGUUGUUAAAGAAGAACAUAUCUGAGAGUAACUGUUCAGGUAUUGACGGUAUUUAACCAGAAAGCCACGGCUAACUACGUGCCAGCAGCCGCGGUAAUACGUAGGUGGCAAGCGUUGUCCGGAUUUAUUGGGCGUAAAGCGAGCGCAGGCGGUUUUUUAAGUCUGAUGUGAAAGCCUUCGGCUCAACCGAAGAAGUGCAUCGGAAACUGGGAAACUUGAGUGCAGAAGAGGACAGUGGAACUCCAUGUGUAGCGGUGAAAUGCGUAGAUAUAUGGAAGAACACCAGUGGCGAAGGCGGCUGUCUGGUCUGUAACUGACGCUGAGGCUCGAAAGUAUGGGUAGCAAACAGGAUUAGAUACCCUGGGUAGUCCAUACCGUAAACGAUGAAUGCUAAGUGUUGGAGGGUUUCCGCCCUUCAGUGCUGCAGCUAACGCAUUAAGCAUUCCGCCUGGGGAGUACGGCCGCAAGGCUGAAACUCAAAGGAAUUGACGGGGGCCCGCACAAGCGGUGGAGCAUGUGGUUUAAUUCGAAGCUACGCGAAGAACCUUACCAGGUCUUGACAUACUAUGCAAAUCUAAGAGAUUAGACGUUCCCUUCGGGGACAUGGAUACAGGUGGUGCAUGGUUGUCGUCAGCUCGUGUCGUGAGAUGUUGGGUUAAGUCCCGCAACGAGCGCAACCCUUAUUAUCAGUUGCCAGCAUUAAGUUGGGCACUCUGGUGAGACUGCCGGUGACAAACCGGAGGAAGGUGGGGAUGACGUCAAAUCAUCAUGCCCCUUAUGACCUGGGCUACACACGUGCUACAAUGGAUGGUACAACGAGUUGCGAACUCGCGAGAGUAAGCUAAUCUCUUAAAGCCAUUCUCAGUUCGGAUUGUAGGCUGCAACUCGCCUACAUGAAGUCGGAAUCGCUAGUAAUCGCGGAUCAGCAUGCCGCGGUGAAUACGUUCCCGGGCCUUGUACACACCGCCCGUCACACCAUGAGAGUUUGUAACACCCAAAGUCGGUGGGGUAACCUUUUAGGAACCAGCCGCCUAAGGUGGGACAGAUGAUUAGGGUGAAGUCGUAACAAGGUAACC
RNAcentral lists this ribosomal RNA (1530 nucleotides) under Lactobacillus sp. T5R1C10. RNAcentral's name for it is "16S ribosomal RNA". It matches the Rfam family "Bacterial small subunit ribosomal RNA". The record is from RNAcentral. Lineage: Bacteria; Bacillati; Bacillota; Bacilli; Lactobacillales; Lactobacillaceae.